GAUCAUGGCUCAGGAUGAACGCUAGCGGCAGGCUUAACACAUGCAAGUCGAGGGGCAGCAUAAUGGAUAGCAAUAUCUAUGGUGGCGACCGGCGCACGGGUGCGUAACGCGUAUGCAACCUACCCUUUAACUAGGGGGAGUAACACUGAGAAAUUGGUACUAAUACCCCAUAAUAUCAUAGAAGGCAUCUUUUAUGGUUGAAAAUUCCGAUGGUUAGAGAUGGGCAUGCGUUGUA
This 235-nucleotide ribosomal RNA is filed under the name uncultured bacterium. RNAcentral's name for it is "partial 16S ribosomal RNA". It matches the Rfam family "Bacterial small subunit ribosomal RNA", at positions 15 to 240 of the family's 1533-position model. The record is from RNAcentral.